Non-coding RNA from Xyrichtys novacula (pearly razorfish), 8114 nucleotides. Lineage: Eukaryota; Metazoa; Chordata; Actinopteri; Labriformes; Labridae. The record is from the annotation of a GenBank genome assembly.
CUGGAAGAGAGUGGGUGAGUUGUGUUUAGUCUCUUUGCUAAAGAAAUCAGGCAAAGUUAUAAAGGUGUUUGGUGGCUAAUGCUAUGGCUGGGACCCUAUAUGUACUGUUGAUGAAGUUAGGUGCUGUUCUGAGCAUUAUUUGUGGCUAUAGAGUGGCUUUUUGGUUGAGGUUUGUUUAUGGCUCCUGGGACCGUUGUUUAUUGCUAUCGUGCGGUCAUUACUAAAGUUGGUAUAACUAGAGAAGCAAGCAGUCGGCAACAUUCAUCUUUUGAGGGGGUGUCUAACUCUGUGUUACGGUGUGUUUGACCCCAACUUAAUUUUACGCCAGAAUAUCCCUUUAACUUGUGUGGGUUUGUUCGUCUGCAAUAGAGAUGCCGACCUUCAGAGUAAGGAGUUUAUUCUUGGUGGGCUUUUUGUGUGGCAUCAGGUCAUCUGUAUCUCUUGAUUGUGACAAAAUGAAUAAAAAUGUUGAUCUUUAUUUGAUUUAUGAACCUGAGUGAUGAGCUAAGAAGCUGACACUGAUGUUCUGUUAUCUCAGGUGUUUACUCUCCCACAUGAGCACUGACUGAUAAAGGAGGCAGCAUGAGUCACCAGACAUUGCUCAUCAUCACUCUGCAGAGGGUCUCACUGACUCAGCAGGUGACAGGAGCUCUCAUGCUUCGCUCAUUACAGUCAUCAGGAGAAGUCAGAGAGGGUUGAGUCUCGGGGUAUUUCCGCACAAGACAGUGUGAAUGUGAUUUAUUUAAAAUCCAAAAUUAGAUCCAGAAUACAGUCUGUAGUGAAAAAAGGUUUCAUUCAUAUUGGACUGUUUGACCUAUUAUAUUUUGAUGAAGGUCAUUUCAAAACAGAGUUCACACCAAUGUGAUCAUAAGAAAUAAACAUAAAGUAGAAAAUGUGUUAAAACCAAAAGCUAAACUCUAACUGUAGCUUGUUUGACUUUGUGUUUAAGUGUUUCAGUGUGUUGAAGUUAUUCAAAUCUAGUCUUAAAAAACACUUUAUUUCCCCAGAAUAUUUCCAUCACUCAUGUUCCCCCUCAGUCCUUUCCACAGCCUCAAAACCACACUACCUCCUCUGUCUCCCCAGACUUGAAGUCACCAUAACUGGCUGCUGUGUGAGAAAAUGGAACAAAUUGUCUGGUGAAGUUUAACCGUGGAAACUUAAUUAGGCGAUGUCUGGGAGAUUUCACAAAUAAAGGGAAAGAAUCAACAUCCACAUCGAGCAUUAAGUGAUGGCCUCUUUCUGUUAAUGUCACAUUAUAUUUAGAAUUGUACAAGGGUGAACAGAUAUCAUAUGGUUAUAAUAUUCAUCACCCAGCAGACUCAUCCUCUCCAGGGAGGGAGAGAAAACCUACCAUCGUAAAGACAAUCGAUCUAAGGUAGUGGUUCUCAACUGGUCUCACUCUGGACCCACAUUUUCCCAUGGUCCUUAAGUCGCGUCCCACUUUUAUAUGAUUCAAACCAACCAAAUUUAUUUUUUAUAAAUAAAAAAAACCUUUAAAGACUCUAAUCUUUAACAUAAAUCCACUUCUUUUAUUGAUUGAAAUGCAUUCAGAGCACAUGAAGGGGACAACAUGAGGAAGACAACUACUGAAGUUGCAUAUACAGAAAAUUUCAAAUAUCUAACAAACAUCGCAUUAAAUAUUUACUUUUUUGACCAGCUGUUCAUGACCCAUCCAGAACGUGUCUGUGACCCACUUUUGGGUCGGGACCCACCAGUUGAGAACCACUGAUCUGAGGCGUUGCAUUUUGCAGUUCUUAACUCCAUAAAACACUAUUUUGAAAAAAGACAAGCUUUUCAGAUGAACAAUACUAUCCGCCCUUUGCUAUGAAAAGGCCCCAAUACUUUCUGCACUAGCACAAAGAUGCCACUGGGUGUCAGUGUGGAGUGUGGGAAUAAACUGUAAAAGUACUGUGUCAUAAUAGAAAUUGCAAUACAUCUAAGUGGUACACCUACAGUUCAGUUCAGCCUCUGUUUUGGGAGUUACAAAGCUGUCCACACAAAUGAGUCAUAUGAAGUUUAACAGGUAGGUUAUUGCUUUGGAAGUCCAAAGGUCGCUUUCAUAAAGCAGCUCAGCAGAGGCUGGGUAGUCGGAGCUUGAAUUUUUGUUGCGUAAGGCUCAAAUUUUGAUAAAUAGAAGGAGUCUAGAAAGUGGAAAACUCCACCUAACACAGUACAAACAUACUGUAGGAAAUGUGCACUAUUAAAUCAAGCAUAAAUAUUGGAAUAAACUAGCCACAGCAUCAAUGAUAGUCAUAACAGCCUCAUCCAGAACUAAUGGUUGCCCCAGAUUUACUUUUCGUUUGAGUUUUUAUUCUAUUUUAAGCCCUUUCCUUUGUCUCCCACUGCUUUCCUUCUACAUUCCCUUCAUCUCCACUCAAACCCCUGACUCCUUUUUCAUCUCCAUCCCGGCCGGGAGAGUCUGAGAUGUGUCAGAGGGCUGCAGAGGAUCUGACUCACCGCCUUCAGAGUCUAAACACUAUUAGUUUCCAGGUGGAGCACUGAGACACUAUUGUGUUUCUGAUUAGCCCACCAAGACACUCGGGACAGUUGGGGGGGAGGGAGGAGUGUGAGGCACUCUCCCAGCAGAAAAUGUGGUUUAGAAGUCUUUGUGGGUUUGCUUGUGUUUGCAUCAAGUGAUUUUGUAGGAGGGACGUUUUGUGCAUUUUCCAAGAUUUCUGUGUGUGUGUGCUAAUGAUCAAACUAUGAUUAACGUCUGAGUGAGACCACCAGGACUGCUGCUCUAGGUGGGAGGCCUGUGUUUUCACAGAGGGUCCGCCGGUGAGUCAGUGAAACCUUUAGAUUGAUAUCAUUGCCCACAGUUGCUUCACAGGGAACCACCCAACAAUGACACAAACACCUCAAAUACAACUGUCUCAGUCACUGCUGUGGGUAACAUGACGUUAAUACCAUUUUCAUUUUGUAUCACCAGCAGAUGAUAUGCAUUAAUCUUGUCGCUGAUGGUCUUGGUUGAUUUUAUGUGUCAUUAAAAGGCAUCAACAUAAAUUUCGGUCCAUUUAAUAAACAUAAAAAAAAUUCUCUUUUGAACAACGCACCAAAUAUCUCAUUGAUCUGUUUGCAAAGUUAAAGUAAAAUCAACAAUCAACAUCAAUUGCCCAUCAUGUAUUACAGCAAAUACAGGGUCUCUGUCUAAUAACACUUUUGUGUCUUUAGGAAAUGUUUUAAGGUCAUGUAAAAAAAUUCUGGUUUUGUGAUCCACUAUGGUUUUGAUUAAGCUUUGUCUUUGUUCUUAAUGUUUUAUUCUUCAUCUGUUGUGUGUUUUUUGUGUUACUGAAACACAGUCUUAACAGGGCUAACUGAGAAGUAUCAAUUUAUUUAUUUCAAACGAUUUUUCUUCUAACAGCAAACUAAUUGUUUAUUCCGUUCAGAGAAAAAAAAUUAUCAUGAAAAUUAUAUGCAGACUACAGUGUGUCAAGUGACCAAAAGUGCAGAGAAAUGUUUAAAUUAUCAUUUUCUGAAGCUUCUGAGAAAGGUAUUUUUAAAAAAUGUGUAAAAACCAAAAGUAAGUCCAGAGCAAAUCUGCAUCUAAAUGAUCAGAUUGUUAUUCACGAAUCAUUCCAGGGGGUUGAUUGUGAUGAAACGAUCCUACACACAGAUCAAUUAAACAAUAACUGCUGAGUGAUUCAUUUUGUGAUUCUGUUUUUCUGAUAUACAUGAAAGGGUUGGAAAAAAUAACACUAAAGUUUCAUUAGAACGCAAACUUCACAAGACAAGCCUGCAGUUUCUGUUCAUGUGAAUAUCAGUCAACAAAGCAAACCAGACACAACAAGAGGAGGUGUCUGGCUUUCAUUUGUUUCCAGACUGAACAAAGAUGCCAAAGUUUCCUGAUCACUGAAGAGUGUCUGUCACUGCAGAAAAACCACACACAAAGUGGGCACAGACAGUCCGUCUGUGUGGAAAUAAAGUUGAACCAAAGAAUCAAUGAUCAUCUGUUUUACCGGACACAGUUACAUCCACAGCAAAAAAAUUAACUUUGACCGCUUUUUAUUUCUUAGUGGUAAAAGGUAGUUAAAUGUUGGUAUUAUCUUUUUUAAAUUCUCAUGUCAGAUUUAACAUUUUUGUUUGGCAGGGGCAAAACAACAAUUUUGUUCUGCACCUAAUUUUCUCAACAAUUAAUUGGUUUAAAAAAAAAAACAUACAUAAAAUGUUACAUAUACCUUAAAAAGAUUGGAUAAAUUGAGCGGUAUUCUUUGAGAAAAAGCUAUGGAAGGAAAAAGCUGGUAGUUUCAUGAUGUGUUUUCCUCUCUUAAUGCAUACAUUUAAAUCCUUGUUAGUGUCUCAGUGAUUUUCGUUUUGGUUUGCUUGUUUGUUAUUUGAUAACUGGGAAGUAAAUCAAUGUGAGUCUACAACAGCACCUUGAUGAAAGGUUAGUGUUUGAUACUGUCAAAUUUUUAGCUGUACAUUUCUUAAAGUAAUGAACAACAUGUCAAGAUAGGGGGCCUGAACAGCUACUUGUCAGUCCCACUGAACCCAGGAUAUUUUUACUGCAACUUAGUCAAUAUUCAGUGUGAGGACAAACACAUCCACACCCUCAAUCAGACUAAUGCGCAGCCUCAGCUGUCUCUUCCCUUCACUGAGCUGAUCUUCUGUGUGAAACCAAAGCGGACUGCUUCUCACUGCUCUGCUCCAUUGUUGUUUUAACUAUGUCAGUCAAUACAGCCAGCUGAUACCCACCGACCAAUCAAUACCACCUAUUACCCCUAAGGGGGCAGAGCUUCAAAAGGGUUACUCUGGAAAUUAAAGGUGUUUAAAGAAUCCACUGAUAGAGUGCUGGGGGGUAAAAACACACUGAUCUACAAUCCCAGCACAAGGAUUGGGGAUGAUGGGGAUGACUUGGAAAACACUGCCCCCUCCUGGCAACAGCUAGAAAUACCAGGAAAAUACAUCUUAAAACAAAUGCACCAGAUUUUACAUUAAUUCAUACAUUCGUUCAUACAUACAGUACACCUCCCUAAUAUAUACAGUCUCACUCAUUAGUCAAUGUUAAACACUCAUGCUGGUUGUAAUGCAUUCACACAGACACAGGCAUAUUUACAUGUAACCACAGUUUGUUUCACCUUCUCAUGUUUUUUUUUUCUCUUUUAUACUAAAAGCCAGAAAAAGUAGCAAGGUAAAUUCAGCCAGAAGCCUCAUACCUACUUCUACAACCCAAACUCUGCAAUCGCUCUCUUUUUGGUUCAGUUUAACAAACUGAUUCGUAAACAAAUGUGAGAUCAGGAAGUCCUAAGCUUUGAAUGUGUGUGAGACAAUAAAGAUAAAAUGAGAAAAGUAAAAUCUUUCAAGUUUGAAAAAAACAAAUCUGUAUGAAAUCAGCUGAAGAUAUACAGUAAAAGGAAAUAAUAAUAAUGGUACUAUAUAAAGUUUUAGAAAGUGGGUAUGGGUUUGCACUAUCAGACUUUGAAAGAUGGUUUAUACUACGUCAACUUUUAAAUUCACCAGCAGGUGGCAGCAAAGUACUCCUGUGUCCAAGGCCUAAAGGUUGGCAGUAGAAAACAACUGAGAAAAUCAGGCUGUAUGGGAGACUUUCAUGGCUUAUUGGUUGUCACUCAUUUUGUCUUCUUAUUUUGUCAGGUUUGACAUCGAUAAGAGAAAAUUUUACUCCACAAUCCGAAUACAAUGUGACCAGCAAUGUUGCAUUUAUUUGUUAAGUAGUAGCGUUGCUCUUGCGUUUACAGCACAUGUGAAUUUAUGCGCUCAGUGUAACAACAUUGCUCUUCCACAAAGUGGCGCCACAGGCCUGUGUAUUCGCUCCACAUGAUUUACGGUUCCUUUGUUCCUUAACAAUAAAUUGAUAAUAAAUAAAUACAUACAGAAACAAAAUGGGUCUUUUUUAUAUGUCUUUGAGCCUGUCAGCACCUGAGCCUGUUCUAAUUUUCUAUAACUAACUCUAAAUAUUUAGUUCAGAGCUUUAAUUUUUGUUAAUUGUAGGGUGCUGUUGCUUUGACCCUUGACCUCUCCCUCCAGCUCUCAGGAAAUGGCAGUAAAAUUGGCUAAGUGAAAUAAAAAGCAAUUAUGUAAAUGCAUGUGAGACUGAUUUUUUUUCUUUUUUCAACUGAUGCAUGAAAACUUUUGUCUCCAUCUGAAAAGACUUUCAGACUCCACCACCACUUCCUCUGCUCUGAAGGCACUGGGCGCAGGUCUUUACUGGAAACCAGUAGCUCUGACUAAAAACCCCACAGCAGUGCUGUAUGGUGCACUUGUGGUAGCCGUUAGGUGCCGGUAAGCUUCACAGUGUGAGGCAGUUAACCCUUCAGUGGCACCUAAACAAGAGCUGUCACCACCCAACUGCACCCUGAUGCAACAUCUUACAGAAAGCCAUCAGUUUAAACUGUAAACCAGCGUGACCCCCAAACCAAACCGUCUGUAUUUGAUGUUGCAGGUACAACCUUUAUCCAGGAAGACAUUCAGAGUACAAGUUCUGAUAACAGACAUGAGAGUUGUUGCCUAUUAAGGUAUGAAAAUGAGAGUCACUGUUACUCUCAGUGAACCGAACGUGAAAACAGAUCAGGCCCUGACUGAUACCCAAGUGAAGGUGUCGACAGAGAGGCAGAGGGAGACGGUCUCACUGUCAAGAGCAAAACCUCAAGAGCCACAGAACAAAACUGAAUACAUCUGCCAAUGGCUCAAGGUUUAAGAUUUUGUACAAUCACUAUAAGUUCAAUUGCAACUCAAAUUAGAAUCAGUCACUUAGAGGAAGAAAAAGAAAAAGGACAUUUUUAAAAAUAGUGUCUGUACUUGCACCAAAUUUUGCAAAUCAACCUUAAAAUUGUGAUGUCCCUUGUCAAAUCCUUGAGGACAGUCUCACAUACUGUAUUUACAGCACUACUUAGCCUGCACGGCUGUGAUUUUAGCACUUUAAAACUUAAUUUGAUGACACAGAUACCCACGGAAACCCUUUUAUUGCCAGAGGUUUCUGAAAAUUAUCACACAAGCUGAUUUCUGGGUGAAAGGGUGCAUUGUGUAGCCAAACAAGAAAACAGCCUGUGAGAUCUCUCUAAGGAGCAGAGAGGAAUGAAAACAUAACCCUCACUCCCUCAGAACCUCAUAGAAGUAAAGCACACACCAGUGAUAAGACAACCCCCCGCAUGCACUAAAUGCUCUGCAAGUUAUCUACAGAUAUGUUUUUUAAAAGGCUGAUGCAAUGUGAUAGCUGCUGACAGGUCAAAACGUCUGUGCUUUCACUUUGCUUUCAAAAUAGAAGAAUAAAAAGUUCCAGUUGGAUGCAGAAGCAACAGGUUUGCUCCUGCAGUCCACCUACUCACUCACACUUCUACAUAAAAUUGACUUACACAAGGUUUCACACUCAGAUUUACUUGCUCCUAACACUCACUGUUACACCUAAAAAAUUUCACUGGGCUUUGAGUUUUUUUCAGUCCUUUGCAUAACACACAUUCUGUGGUUUCUGUGUUUCUACUCAUAGAAACAUCUUUCACACCAAAACUCGGGCUUUCAGGAAACAUUCAAACCUCAUCUGCUAAUCUGACAUGUGCAACACAUCGCCCAUCAACAGGAGUCGAGCUAACGAGGCUGCUGUUUUUGUGUUCCUGAUUAGAUGACAUGUUGGUGAUAAGAGUUUCUUGCUUUUCCGUCUAAACUGAGGCUUGACUUGACAAAAGAGGAAGUGCCUCUGUCACUGUGCAAUGAGUGAUGUAUGAAUGUGUGCUACUACAUACAGAGUGUUGAUGUAUGUACUGUAAGUUUACUGUACUCUAUUUAUAUCUGAGCCUAGCCCUGACUCAUGAAUCAUGUUGGUGAACAUUGAAUCAACUUUGCUCUGGCCUUAGCUGUAACACUGCACACGCCUGGGCUGCACAGACGUCUGUAAGAACUGUUCCUUUAAAUUUAAUAGCAUAAAUAUUUUGGAAGAGAGUGGGUGAGUUGUGUUUAGUCUCUUUGCUAAAAAAAAUCAGGCAAAGCUAAAAAGAUGUAUGGUGGCUAGUGCUGUGGCUGGAACCCUUUAUGUACCGUUGAUGAAGUUAGGUGCUGUUCUGAGCAUUAUUUGUGGCUAUAGAGUGGCGUUUUGGUUGAGGUUUGUUUAUGGCUCCUCAGACCGCUGUGUAUUACUAUCAUGCGGUCAUUACUAAAGUUGAUAUAAC